This 93-nucleotide transfer RNA is filed under the name Bordetella avium. RNAcentral describes it as "tRNA-Ser(gct)". It matches the Rfam family "tRNA". Rfam says of the family: Transfer RNA (tRNA) molecules are approximately 80 nucleotides in length. Their secondary structure includes four short double-helical elements and three loops (D, anti-codon, and T loops). Further hydrogen bonds mediate the characteristic L-shaped molecular structure. tRNAs have two regions of fundamental functional importance: the anti-codon, which is responsible for specific mRNA codon recognition, and the 3' end, to which the tRNAs corresponding amino acid is attached (by aminoacyl-tRNA synthetases). tRNAs cope with the degeneracy of the genetic code in two manners: having more than one tRNA (with a specific anti-codon) for a particular amino acid; and 'wobble' base-pairing, i.e. permitting non-standard base-pairing at the 3rd anti-codon position. The record is from RNAcentral. Lineage: Bacteria; Pseudomonadati; Pseudomonadota; Betaproteobacteria; Burkholderiales; Alcaligenaceae. RNAcentral also lists the same sequence under 92 other names.
GGAGACGUGCCCGAGAGGCUGAAGGGGCUCCCCUGCUAAGGGAGUAUGUGGCUAAAAACUGCAUCGUGGGUUCGAAUCCCACCGUCUCCGCCA